This 563-nucleotide ribosomal RNA is filed under the name Escherichia coli. Its description in RNAcentral is "partial 23S ribosomal RNA". It matches the Rfam family "Bacterial large subunit ribosomal RNA", at positions 2159 to 2721 of the family's 2925-position model. The record is from RNAcentral. Lineage: Bacteria; Pseudomonadati; Pseudomonadota; Gammaproteobacteria; Enterobacterales; Enterobacteriaceae.
GAAGUGUGGACGCCAGUCUGCAUGGAGCCGACCUUGAAAUACCACCCUUUAAUGUUUGAUGUUCUAACGUGGACCCGUAAUCCGGGUUGCGGACAGUGUCUGGUGGGUAGUUUGACUGGGGCGGUCUCCUCCUAAAGAGUAACGGAGGAGCACGAAGGUUGGCUAAUCCUGGUCGGACAUCAGGAGGUUAGUGCAAUGGCAUAAGCCAGCUUGACUGCGAGCGUGACGGCGCGAGCAGGUGCGAAAGCAGGUCAUAGUGAUCCGGUGGUUCUGAAUGGAAGGGCCAUCGCUCAACGGAUAAAAGGUACUCCGGGGAUAACAGGCUGAUACCGCCCAAGAGUUCAUAUCGACGGCGGUGUUUGGCACCUCGAUGUCGGCUCAUCACAUCCUGGGGCUGAAGUAGGUCCCAAGGGUAUGGCUGUUCGCCAUUUAAAGUGGUACGCGAGCUGGGUUUAGAACGUCGUGAGACAGUUCGGUCCCUAUCUGCCGUGGGCGCUGGAGAACUGAGGGGGGCUGCUCCUAGUACGAGAGGACCGGAGUGGACGCAUCACUGGUGUUCGGGU